AAACUUUUCAGCUAGAGUAUGAUAGAGGAAAGCAGAAUUUCUAGUGUAGAGGUGAAAUUCGUAGAUAUUAGAAAGAAUACCAAUUGCGAAGGCAGCUUUCUGGAUCAUUACUGACACUGAGGAACGAAAGCAUGGGUAGCGAAGAGGAUUAGAUACCCUCGUAGUCCAUGCCGUAAACGAUGUGUGUUAGACGUUGGAAAUUUAUUUUCAGUGUCGCAGCGAAAGCGAUAAACACACCGCCUGGGGAGUACGACCGCAAGGUUAAAACUCAAAUGAAUUGACGGGGACCCGCACAAGUAGUGGAGCAUGUGGUUUAAUUCGAAGAUACGCGCAGAACCUUACCAACACUUGACAUGUUCGUCGCGACUUUAAGAGAUUAGAGUUUUCGGUUCGGCCGGACGAAACACAGGUGCUGCAUGGCUGUCGUCAGCUCGUGUCGUGAGAUGUUGGGUUAAGUCCCGCAACGAGCGCAACCCUCACUUUUAGUUGCCAUCAUUAAGUUGGGCACUCUGAAAGAACUGCCAGUGAUAAGCUGGAGGAAGGUGGGGAUGACGUCAAGUCCUCAUGGCCCUUACGUGUUGGGCUACACACGUGCUACAAUGGUAUCUACAACAGGAAGCAAGGCUGCGAAGUUAAGCAAAUCCCUAAAAGAUACCUCAGUUCGGAUUGCACUCUGCAACUCGAGUGCAUGAAGCUGGAAUUACUAGUAAUCGUGGAUCAGCGUGCCACGGUGAAUGCGUUCCCGGGUCUUGUACACACCGCCCGUCACACCAUGGGAGUUGGUUCUACCUUAAGGCGAGGUUUCAAACCCUUGACCACGGUAUAGUCAGCGACUGGGGUGAAGUCGUAACAAGGUAGCCGUA
Molecule: ribosomal RNA, 863 nt
Filed under: uncultured bacterium
Lineage: Bacteria
Description: bacterial SSU rRNA
Rfam family: Bacterial small subunit ribosomal RNA
Source: RNAcentral